GAAAGUAAACAAGGGCGCAUGGAGGAUGCCUAGGCUCUCGGAGGCGAAGAAGGACGUGAUAAGCUGCGAAAAGUUACGGUAAGGCGCAAAUAGCCGUAGACCCGUAAAUAUCCGAAUGGGGCAACCCGGCCAGCAAUGGCCAUACCGCCAAGCGGUAAGCCAACGCGGGGAACUGAAACAUCUUAGUACCCGCAGGAAAAGAAAAUAACAAUGAUUCCCCCAGUAGUGGCGAGCGAACGCGGAACAGCCCAAACCACUCGUGUUACGGCACGGGUGGGGUAGAAGGAUCCACGAUACGGCAAGAAAUAAGUUAGCGGAAUACGAUGGAAAUCGUAGCCAAAGACGGUGACAGCCCGGUACGCGAAAACGGACAGAAGCCCAGUGGACACCUGAGUAACCCAGGACACGAGAAAUCCGGGGCGAAUCAGCGGGGCCCAUCCCGUAAGGCUAAAUACUCCCGAGAGACCGAUAGCGAACCAGUACUGUGAAGGAAAGGUGAAAAGAACCUCGAACAGAGGAGUGAAAAAGACCCUGAAACCAUGCGCCUACAAGCGGUCGGAGCAUGUUAAAAUGUGACGGCGUGCCUUUUGCAUAAUGAACCUACGAGUUACUCUCGCUGGCAAGGUUAAGCGAUUCAGUCGCGCAGCCGAAGCGAAAGCAAGUCCGAACAAGGCGUACAGUCAGCGGGAGUAGACGCGAAACCAAGUGAUCUACCCUUGGUCAGGUUGAAGGUUGGGUAACACCAACUGGAGGACCGCACCGAUAAGCGUUGAAAAGCUUACGGAUGAACUGAGGGUAGGAGUGAAAGGCCAAUCAAACUUGGAGAUAGCUCGUACUCCCCGAAAUGCAUUUAGGUGCAGCCUCGAAGCAGAGUGAUAGAGGUAGAGCGACUGAUAAGAUGCGAGGGCUUCACCGCCUAUCAAGUCUUGACAAACUCCGAAUACUAUCACUUGAUCUUUGGGAGUGAGGGCAUGGGUGCUAAGGUCCAUGUCCGAAAGAGGAACAACUCAGACCACCGGCUAAGGUCCCGAAAUAAGGGCUAAGUUGAACAAACGAAGUAAAACUGCAAAGACAGCUAGGAUGUUGGCUUGGAAGCAGCCAUUCAUUUAAAGAGUGCGUAACAGCUCACUAGUCGAGGAGUUUUGCAUGGAUAAUAAUCGGGCAUAAGCCCUUUACCGAAGCUGUGGAUGUCGUAAGACAUGGUAGGGGAGCAUUCCGGCGGCGACGAAGGCCGUCCUCGAGGACGACUGGAGCUUUCGGAAAAGCAAAUGUAGGUAUAAGUAACGAUAAAGGGGGCGCGAAACCCCCUCGCCAUAAGACUAAGGAUUCCUGAUCAACGCUAAUCGGAUCAGGGUAAGUCGGGCCCUAAGGCGCAGCCGAACGGCGCAGCCGAUGGAAGAAACGGUAAAAAUUCCGUUACUGGAUAUAGGAGCGAUGUGGAGACGGAGAAGUGACACACCCGCCUGCCGACGGAAGCGCAGGUUAAAGGAAGUAGGUAAACGCCGGGCAGGCAAAUCCGCCUGGCGUGCCGAAGCUGACAGUAUCGAGAGCCCCCGGGCAAUCGAAUAGCGGUGGUAAUCAGGCUCCCAAGAAAAUCCGCUAAGCAUAUUCUAUAUUCACCCGUACCCCAAACGGACACACGUAGUCGGGUAGAAUAUACCAAGGCGCUCGAAAGACUCACGGUUAAGGAACUAGGCAAAUUGACCCUGUAACCUCGGGAAAAAGGGUCCCCAGUAAGAUGGGGCGCAGAGAAUAGGUCCAGGCAACUGUUUAACAAAAACACAGGGCUGUGCAAAAUUUGAAGAUGAAGUAUACAGCCUGACACCUGCCCGGUGCCGGAAGGUUAAGAGGAGAGCUAAUCGCAAGAGAAGGCUUGAAUUGAAGCCCCGGUAAACGGCGGCCGUAACUAUAACGGUCCUAAGGUAGCGAAAUUCCUUGUCGG
This 1942-nucleotide ribosomal RNA is filed under the name human gut metagenome. RNAcentral describes it as "bacterial LSU rRNA". It matches the Rfam family "Bacterial large subunit ribosomal RNA", at positions 1 to 1975 of the family's 2925-position model. The record is from RNAcentral.